This 439-nucleotide long non-coding RNA is filed under the name Carica papaya (papaya). Its description in RNAcentral is "long non-coding RNA (CPAP_LNC003923)". The record is from RNAcentral. Lineage: Eukaryota; Viridiplantae; Streptophyta; Magnoliopsida; Brassicales; Caricaceae.
AAUUGGCCAGUGGUUUGGCUCUUAUUUUGCCACAAGUGGGUUCAACAUCGAAAUCCGAGCCAAGGGGAGAAAUUUUACCUCGUUUGGCGACCGAAAAGUGCUCCGUUGCGAAAUGCAUCAAGUGUCUCAUUAGGCAUUUUAUCUCGGAGGGGUUUCUAUUUCUCCCUCCCCCGUCUGGUCUAGAAAGAUGUUAAAGGACUACUUCUUGUGGAUGAUGGCAUACCCUCUAACGAGAGUGGUGACACAAAUAUCUGUUAGGGGUCACAUUUGGUUAAGUACUGUCAUGGUGAUAGAAUAUAUGAUAGGACCACUGUGGUUGGUACAACCGUGGUCAUAGAUUGUACCAUGGUUUUGCAAGCCAAAAAUGUACCUGAGCAAAUUGUUGUUAUAUAUCUGAUAUGCUCAUUCCACAUAGAUACUCAAAAAUCCAUAUCUCCCC